This 363-nucleotide long non-coding RNA is filed under the name Lathyrus oleraceus (garden pea). RNAcentral describes it as "Pisum sativum (pea) long non-coding RNA (PSAT_LNC018366)". The record is from RNAcentral. Lineage: Eukaryota; Viridiplantae; Streptophyta; Magnoliopsida; Fabales; Fabaceae.
AAAGGCAUCUACUUUUAAGGCUCAUGCUUCUCCAUCUUCUUCCUCCCGUAGAAGACAGGUUUCACCUACCGACGCAUCAUUCCCUCCAUCCUCUCGCAUGCGACAAGUUUCAUUUAUUCAUGCGCCAAAGGUACCCGAGUCAUAUGUUCUGAUAGGAUGCGGAGAUGUAUUUUCGCAAACUCUAAACGAAUAUGUAUAUCCGGAACAAUAAACAUGUAAAAUGACUUCAAAGUGAGAUGGAUGGUGUAUAUUUUAAAAUAUUUUGGAGAUACAUCUUCGGAUCAACUAACGUUUAGAUGCAUCUCCGAAAUUUGAGAGACAUUUUAGAUUUUUCUGAGGAUGUUUUUCCAUCCUAUAUGGUGG